CCUAUGAAAAUAAACAAAAGGUACAAUUGUAGCAAUGCUUUAUGAUCUGGAACUGACAUAUUCUUCAUUAUUUGAUAACAAUCAGAUCAAAUUUGUUGUUGCAUUAUGAAUUCAUAUUGUUGUCUUGAUUUGUGCAAUACUUAAUUGUUCUUUGUUCUUCAUGGUGCUUAUUUGUUUUGUUGAAUGACUGAGCAGAGAAGGGUGAGCUGGCUGGAAAAUUCUUCUUCUUGAAUAUCCAUGGGAUUUGGUCAUGCAUAAAUUUAGAUUAGUUCAUGCACAUGCAAAGGGAAGGGAGGUUGACUGAGGCAGUGGUGGAAUUUACUUGUGUAUGGCUAGUAGAUUUGUGUUUCUUGUAGCAACUGUCUUUUGGUGUUUGAAGUGUGGACAGUAACAAUCUCAUUUAUGGGGGCAUCUAGUUUCUUCAUUAUGUGGCAAAAAUGCAUGCAGAAUGCAAUGAGAUGUUUGUUAUAUGAAUUAUUAUUAAAUUUUAGAGAGUGCUAGGCAAAUUACAUAUUAUCAUUUUAAUUCGGGCUUAUAUAA
This 540-nucleotide unclassified non-coding RNA is filed under the name Hevea brasiliensis (rubber tree). The record is from RNAcentral. Lineage: Eukaryota; Viridiplantae; Streptophyta; Magnoliopsida; Malpighiales; Euphorbiaceae.